UGUCAGUCUGUGAAAGUAAUUCAACAGUGUCAUGAUAAUGUACAUAGUUAAUGAAGUUAAUUUAUAUUUAGCUUGGGUCUAAAUCACAUAAUAAAUUAUAAAUGAUAUUUUGAGAAACAUAUUAUGGACAAUUCAAUGGCAGAUUUUUGCAUAAAAAUUAACAGAAGUUGAUUCUAUCUUUCUCCAUAACCACUAUUCAUAAGUUGAAAAAAUGUAGUUUUAAUGAAAAUGUAUUAAAAACUUAGCAACUGCUCUCAUUCUAUAGAAAAUGAAGCCACGGCUGGGCACAAUUCUGGACCUCAUUGGAUAUCUCAGACUUGGAAUGCAGGAAAUUUAAAGCUGUUCUAAAGUGGAUCUUGAAUAAGACUCUGAGACUUCUGUGUGGCUAGUCUCUUUUCUUGUAUCAGGAUGGGGUGAUUUUUUUGGAGAAGGACAAGCAGGCAUCACACAGGGAUGGCUCAUAAAGAGGUUGCUAACUUUAAAACAAUCCAGACAGACACUGGACUUUCAGAAGGGAAAUCAGAGGUGGUUGAGUCUACCACUGUCUGUUCCCUCAAUGGCC
RNAcentral lists this long non-coding RNA (562 nucleotides) under Homo sapiens (human). RNAcentral describes it as "HSALNT0233097". Lineage: Eukaryota; Metazoa; Chordata; Mammalia; Primates; Hominidae. The record is from RNAcentral.